This is an RNA transcript of Cajanus cajan (pigeon pea), 1515 nucleotides long. It is a transcript of the gene named polynucleotide 5'-hydroxyl-kinase NOL9, with no coding region annotated. NCBI's taxonomy places the organism in Eukaryota, Viridiplantae, Streptophyta, Magnoliopsida, Fabales, Fabaceae. The record is from RefSeq and is a predicted model, not a curated record.
UUGGAAUUCAAGGAAGGGUGGGUUUCCCCGAUCCGAACCCACUGGUCCGAACCGUCCUAUAUUAGAUUUCGGAAAAAAGGGUUCAAAAACCAAAACCCAAUUCACCUUGCUUUGGUGUUGUGGCGUUCCUCUCUAACAUUGAGAGAAAGAGAUGGGUUCUUCCCCUUCGCCAGAGAUAUACAUUCCAGAGCAAUGGUUAGAGGCCGGAGAGUCCAUUGCAGAGAGUUCAACACCUCCUAUUGCUCUUAUAUGUGGUGCCAAGAAUUGUGGGAAGACAACCUUCUCCCGCUAUCUCCUAAAUAUCCUUUUGCACAAAUACUCCAAAGUAGCUUAUCUGGAUACUGAUGUUGGCCAACCUGAGUUUACUCCUCCUGCUUUUCUGUCACUAACCAUUCUUCAUAAAGUAACUCCAGAUUUGACAGUUCCAUGCCUGAAGACACCGGAGAGAUGCCUUUUCUUUGGUGAUGUUUCUUGUAAGAGAGAUCCAUCUACAUACUUAAGUUAUGUGUGUGCCAUGUAUGAUUAUUACCGAAAUGAAUAUUGCAUUUCUGAUAAGGGAGAUUAUCCUCAUAAAAUUGAGUUACCUCUUAUUGUGAAUACUCCUGGCUGGGUGAAAGGUGUUGGUUAUGAUGUAUUAGUGGACAUGUUGAAAUAUAUUUGUCCAACACAUGUGGUUAAGAUAAACAUAUCAAGUGAAAAUAAGAAUUUACCUGCUGGAGAAUUCUGGUUAGAUGGGGAACAUGAUGAAACAAUUAACUUGAUUGAGAUAAAUUCAGCUCGUCAGGACUUGUUAAAUAGAUUGGUGCUCGUUAAGAAGGAUGCUCGUCUCCUGCGUGAUUUGAGAAUAAUGGCUUAUUUCAGACAGUGCUUUUCUAGUGAUUCAAAUAUUUCUACGAUCAAGGAACUUGCACAUGCCUUGGCCUAUCACUGUCCUUAUGAAGUUCCCAUUGCAAGCAUAAAGAUUCAACAUCUUCAUUGUGAGGUCCCAAGCUCUGAAAUCUUCUACAGUUUGAAUGCUACCAUUGUUGGCUUAGCAGUUGAUUCUGAUGUACCUGAAAAUUUACCUUGGUGUCUAGGGCUCGGUAGGGAUUGUGAGGGGCAUUGACACAGUCAAAGGUGUGCUCUAUGUCAUUACUCCUGUGCCACAUAGUUCUCUGGAAAAAGUCAACCUCUUACUACAGGGUUAUAUCCAAAUUCCUACCUGUUUAUUGCAGGUUCAGGGAUGCAUCUCACCUUACAUGUCAGCAAAUACUUUGACUACAAAGUAGUUAUUCAUGUGUAGGCAAAGAGCACUAUAAGUUAUUAGGAUCUGCUAAUGGUGAGAUUUUAGGUCAAAUAUUGUCAUCAUUGGACGACUAAACAAAGGAGCAUUAUAAUAGGCAUAUUGACAGGAUAGUAGCCAACUCUUAUAGUUAUUAUAUAGAAGCUUCGUUUUCCAUUAUAAUUUACAUAUUCCCGAGAGAAAUUAUUUUUCCUUAUGCGAUUUAUGAAAAUCCAACAAAAUUGUAUGAAUAA